This 494-nucleotide ribosomal RNA is filed under the name uncultured bacterium. RNAcentral describes it as "partial 16S ribosomal RNA". It matches the Rfam family "Bacterial small subunit ribosomal RNA", at positions 28 to 507 of the family's 1533-position model. The record is from RNAcentral.
GACGAACGCUGGCGGCGUGCUUAACACAUGCAAGUCGAACGGUGAAGCGCCUUCCUUUUUGGUGGGUGUGGAUGAGUGGCGAACGGGUGAGUAACACGUGAGUAACCUGCCCCCUUCUUCUGGAUAACCGCAUGAAAGUGUGGCUAAUACGGGAUAUUCUGGGUCUGUCGCAUGAUGGGUCUGGGAAAGAUAUUGUUUCGGUGGGGGAUGGGCUCGCGGCCUAUCAGCUUGUUGGUGGGGUGAUGGCCUACCAAGGCGGUGACGGGUAACCGGCCUGAGAGGGUGGACGGUCACACUGGGACUGAGACACGGCCCAGACUCCUACGGGAGGCAGCAGUGGGGAAUAUUGCACAAUGGGCGCAAGCCUGAUGCAGCGACGCCGCGUGAGGGAUGGAGGCCUUCGGGUUGUGAACCUCUUUCGCCAGUGAAGCAGGCCUGCCUCGUUUGUGGGUGGGUUGACGGUAGCUGGAGAAGAAGCGCCGGCUAACUACGUG